RNAcentral lists this ribosomal RNA (255 nucleotides) under uncultured bacterium. RNAcentral's name for it is "partial 16S ribosomal RNA". It matches the Rfam family "Bacterial small subunit ribosomal RNA", at positions 524 to 776 of the family's 1533-position model. The record is from RNAcentral.
UACGGGGGGGAGCAAGCGUUGUUCGGAUUUACUGGGCGUAAAGGGCGCGUAGGCGGCCAGCACAAGUCAGUUGUGAAAUCUCCGAGCUUAACUCGGAACGGUCAACUGAUACUGUCGGACUAGAGUACAGAAGGGGCAACUGGAAUUCUCGGUGUAGCGGUGAAAUGCGUAGAUAUCGAGAGGAACACCUGCGGCGAAGGCGGGUUGCUGGGCUGAUACUGACGCUGAGGCGCGAAAGCCAGGGGAGCGAACGGG